UAGUCAUAUGCUUGUCUCAAAGAUUAAGCCAUGCAUGUCUAAGUAUAAGCACUCGUACUGUGAAACUGCGAAUGGCUCAUUACAUCAGUUAUAGUUUAUUUGAUAGUACCUUACUACUUGGAUACCCGUGGUAAUUCUAGAGCUAAUACAUGCGUCGACUCCCGACUUCCGGAAGGGAGGUAUUUAUUAGAUCCCAAACCCUCCGGGCCCCGCGCCCGCGCGUUGGUGAUUCAUGAUAACUGCUCGAAUCGCACGACGUCUUGUCGGCGAUGGUUCAU
RNAcentral lists this ribosomal RNA (278 nucleotides) under uncultured eukaryote. RNAcentral's name for it is "partial 18S ribosomal RNA". It matches the Rfam family "Eukaryotic small subunit ribosomal RNA", at positions 21 to 298 of the family's 1831-position model. The record is from RNAcentral.